GCCAGACUCCUACGGGAGGCAGCAGUGGGGGAUAUUGCACAAUGGGGGGAACCCUGAUGCAGCGACGCCGCGUGGGUGAAGGAGCGUUUCGGCGCGUAAAGCCCUAUCGGCAGGGAAGAAGGAGGACGGUACCUGACUAAGAAGCCCCGGCUAACUACGUGCCAGCAGCCGCGGUAAUACGUAGGGGGCAAGCGUUAUCCGGAUUUACUGGGUGUAAAGGGGGCGCAGACGGCGGCGCAAGCCAGGAGUGAAAGCCCGGGGCCCAACCCCGGGACUGCUCUUGGAACUGCGCGGCUGGAGUGCAGGAGGGGCAGGCGGAAUUCCUGGUGUAGCGGUGAAAUGCGUAGAUAUCAGGAGGAACACCGGUGGCGAAGGCGGCCUGCUGGACGAUGACUGACGUUGAGGCUCGAAAGCGUGGGGAGCAAACAGGAUUAGAUACCCGAGUA
Molecule: ribosomal RNA, 446 nt
Filed under: uncultured bacterium
Lineage: Bacteria
Description: partial 16S ribosomal RNA
Rfam family: Bacterial small subunit ribosomal RNA
Source: RNAcentral